UUGGAAGCACUUUGAGAUCUACUAAUGAAAAGUGCUAGGUGCACAGCAGUCGUGAUCAGAGGCAUGCUGUGGGCAAGAUUGCAAUGAAUUGAAAGCACUUCUAUUUAUACACCUGCACUCACAAAAGAUUCUGAAUGUAAAGAGGAGGAGGCCAAGUUGAGAAACUAAGACAACAAUUCAAACUAUACUGACACAGUGGUGAAUUAAUCCCUUCCUUAGGGGAAAUUCUGUGGGAAGGGUACAAACAGUUCUCAGAACAGUCUUACUACUACCCCAAGCCUGCAGGUGUUCAACUUUUUUAAGGGAUGUUUACAAAUAGGCAGUAAAGGCCUGAUCAAACCCCUCUCGAAGUGAAGAGGAGUCUUGCUAUUGAUCCAAGAAGUUCGAUCGGACCUCGAAGGAGAGCAUUUUCCCUUACCUACCUUUUCCCCAAUGAAGAGAGGGAAGACUUAGGAAGCAGUUAUUAACAGUAAUGUCACAUACAUCUUGCUGACAUACAGUGUGAGUGUGUAGAUGGUGUGUUCUGAAGAUAAAAUUAGAGCAUGCAACUUGACAACUCUCAUAAUCACAGACAUAAGGCCAAGCUUUGCUUUGGCUGGUGCUUUUCAGGGUAGUGGAAACAUUAGCAGCCUCUGCUCCUUCAUUGUUGCUGGUCCAGGCAGAUUCCAUGAGGAGUGUUAGAAGGACAUAGGUGGCGAGUUACAUAAGCUGCUCCUUUGAGGAGCAACAUACAUUCCAGAAAUGUACAAAAGCCACACUGUGACUUAGAUAGAACUCUGUUGAUAACUUGGACCAGGAGCUGGUUGCAUGUAUCUUACUAGCCAUGGGAAGCAAGGAGAUGCAGUGAUAAUUACCACAGUUGUGUGCCUACGUCUCUGUGCUUAUAGAUAAUGAUGAUAUUGGCAUCUUUCAGCUCCUGUGAUAUGAUUUGUUGAAGCUGGACCCGUGAGGAAAACCUUAAAAAGCUUGUCAAUGAGAAGAUUUCCUCCAUGUUUGACAACUUCAGCUGGAAUGGCAUCGGGCCCAGGAGAUUUGUUGUUUUUCAUUGCUUGGACACGCUUCAGCACCUCCGCUUGUGUGUGUGGAUCGGCAAGUACUAGAUGUAGGCAGGUUAUGGAAAUGGUGGCUCAUCAGAAAUAGUAGACAGAUGAUUAAGAAAUUUACUACUGGGUUCAUGGCACCAUUUAGCAGUGCGAAUCUGUGAUGAGUAACUCACAAUCAGCUCUUGUUAGUGGUGUUGAGGCAGAUUGAGUAGGGCUGUAUGCAGCUUUGACUGCAUCGUGUAGAAGCUUUUGGAGUCACGUUUUUCAGCAAGGACCUGCAAUUAAUCCGCUUUGUGGUCAAACCACAUAUUUUGCGUAUGGCGGAGUUUGUGGUAGAGAGUGCUGCAAGCUUCUUUAUAUCUGGCUUGUUUCGACUCAGAGAAUGGGUCAACUAAGAACACAUCAUGGGCUUGCCAUUUGGCAACAAGAAGAUGUGCUAUUUCAGGAUCAUUAUUAUCAAACCCGUCUUCAUGAUGGUGUUUUGUAUAUCCAGCACAGUUCACAACAGUCUAUAAUGUAGAUUGUAUCACACAGGGAUACGGUCACAGAGUGCAUUCACCACUAGGGGCACCUCCUCCUUUCCAAUCUGGGGAUCAGCUCUUUCCAGGUCCAAAGCCCCCUUCUGCAGCUUGUUGCACACUCUGCCAUCUCUCUCCCUCUCUGCAACUCAGGGUGCUCUGUCUCCGUGGCCCGGCCCUCUGGCCAGGUCACUGUAGUCCUUGCCUUCCACGGUAACGAAGUCUCUCCAGAUCAGGGCUGGUAGGGGAACACAGGCCCACCCUCUACACGGGUUCCAACUCAGGGACCCUAUAACAAACAACUGUGGUCUGCUUUCCCUCAGACCUUGUUUCUCUUUCCCUGGACUCCUUCCUACAGCUUAUGGCUCUCCCUUUCCCCCUGCCACCAACUCAAAUUCCCUCUUCCCAGGCAGUGACAGCAGACUUUUUCCCUGCAGCCUCUUUCUGUUGCCAGCGUCCUGUAUUUGUCCUUGCCCUGCCUCUUCCUUCUCAGCUGGGCUCCAUAAUUAUUUAGGCCACCAAAUUCCCCUCAGCUGUGGCAUAUCUGAUUAAUUCACCCCUUCUCAGCCUCAUUAACCCUUUCUGGGCUGGCAUGGGGUGAACACCCCAUCACAGAUUCCCUUUCAACAGAUACAUCAUCACCAAUUGUUGGAAAAGUUUCCAAAACAGUUGCUAGCUCUGUGGAGAAUUGUUUGGUGGUUGACUGGUCUUUCAGCCAGGCAACAUUUAGAUGUUUUUACUCACUGUUUUUUACACACAUCUCAUAGGUCCUGCUGUCUGACCAACACAUAAUCAAUCAAAUGCCAGUCAUGUGAGCAAGGGUGCAUCCAGCUCCUUUUGUGUUUGUUGGGGAGUGUGUGUGUGAUAACUAAUCGGUGCUCGAUACAUGUUGGCAAUAAAAGUAAGCCUUUACUCUUCAUCUUGCUGAUGCUCCACCACAUAGACUCAUCAUGGCCAACAUGAGUGUGAAAGUCACCUGGGAUAAUCAACUUGUCUUCACAGGGAGUCAAUUGAUCAGAUCAAUUAGAUUGAAGUAAAAUUGCUCUUUCCUUUCA
This is a long non-coding RNA of Mauremys reevesii (Reeves's turtle), 2616 nucleotides long. RefSeq lists it as uncharacterized. The record is from RefSeq and is a predicted model, not a curated record. The transcript is spliced from 2 exons. Lineage: Eukaryota; Metazoa; Chordata; Testudines; Geoemydidae.